GAUGAACGCUGGCGGCGUGCCUAAUACAUGCAAGUCGAGCGAACAGACGAGGAGCUUGCUCCUCUGACGUUAUCGGCGGACGGGUGAUUAACACGUGGAUAACCUACCUAUAAGACUGGGAUAACUUCGGGAAACCGGAGCUAAUACCGGAUAAUAUAUUGAACCGCAUGGUUCAAUAGUGAAAGACGGUUUUGCUGUCACUUAUAGAUGGAUCCGCGCCGCAUUAGCUAGUUGGUAAGGUAACAGCUUACCAAGGCAACGAUGCGUAGCCGACCUGAGAGGGUGAUCGGCCACACUGGAACUGAGACACGGUCCAGACUCCUACGGGAGGCAGCAGUAGGGAAUCUUACGCAAUGGGCGAAAGCCUGACGGAGCAACGACGCGUGAGUGAUGAAGGUCUUCGGAUCGUAAAAAUCUGUUAUUAGGGAAGAACAAAUGUGUAAGUAACUAUGCACGUCUUGACGGUACCGAAUCAGAAAGCCACGGCUAACUACGUG
Molecule: ribosomal RNA, 497 nt
Filed under: uncultured bacterium
Lineage: Bacteria
Description: partial 16S ribosomal RNA
Rfam family: Bacterial small subunit ribosomal RNA
Source: RNAcentral